Molecule: long non-coding RNA, 620 nt
Organism: Herpailurus yagouaroundi (jaguarundi)
Lineage: Eukaryota; Metazoa; Chordata; Mammalia; Carnivora; Felidae
Exons: 2
Source: RefSeq, a predicted model, not a curated record
GUGGGUAGCCAACAGGAGGCGAGCUUGAGAACAAUUACAAACUAUUGCAUAAAAUUCAAAAUUAUAGAAAAUACAUCUAAACAUUGAGAUCAUCUAAUGAAGUGAUCUGUGUGGGAUGAGGUUAAUGGAAAGAAAGCAUUCAGAGAAAAUAGGAUUUCAGGAACUGUUAUGGUGGAGAAAGGAAGAGCAGAGGCAAGUGAAAGAAAAAGGACCAUUUGGAGGAAUAGAAAACCUGUGUGUUGGAAUGUCUAACGGAGAACCAAAGCAAUCUCACCAUUGUGGAGUCCAGAGCACCCAGGAUGACUUCUGAAUCUCUUCUGCUGCCCUAGUUUCCCUAAAAGAUUCCUUGGCAAACCACGUGAAUGAAAGUAUGAUCAUUAGAAAAAGGGCAUUUUAAAUCUCUGGUCUUUUUCAAAUUAAAAACAUACAAGGGGCACCUGGCUGGUUUAGUCGGUUGAGCAUCCAACUUUGGCUGAGCUCAUGAUCUCACAGUUUGUGAGUCCAAGCCUCACAUCGGGCUCGCUGCUGUCCAUGUAGAGCCUUCUUCGAAUCAUCUGCCCCUGUCUCUCUCUGCCCUCCGUCUCUAUCUGCCCCUUAACACCCCCCCCCCUCAGAAAUUA